Molecule: long non-coding RNA, 480 nt
Organism: Mus musculus (house mouse)
Lineage: Eukaryota; Metazoa; Chordata; Mammalia; Rodentia; Muridae
Product: predicted gene, 38990
Exons: 4
Source: RefSeq, a predicted model, not a curated record
UGUUUGUACCCUAACUUCACCUCAUAUAGGAUCACUCUAGAGACUUAGCCCUGGUAUUAUUGUGUGGGAGGCUUUCUAGGUCACAUCAAAUGAGAUGGGAACACCCAUGUCAACUGCAAACAGAAAGAAGAAAGCCAGCUGAGCGCCAGCAUCCCCGUCUCUCUGCUUCCUGACUGGAUACAAUGUGACCAGUACCUCAAAGAUCCCGCCUCCAUCUCUUCCCCACCAUGAUGAACUGCAACACCCUUCAACUGUGGACCUAAGUAAACAUUCUUAAGAUCCGGAUAUAGAACUCUCUCUCAUCUACUUCUCCAGCACCAUAUCUGCCUGCAAGCCACCAGGCUUCCUGACAUGAUGACAAUGGACGAAACCUCUGAACUGUCACAAGGCAACUAAUUAUUUUCUGCUUCCUGGUCACAAUGUACUUCUCAGCCACUUCUCUAGCCCUGUGCCACCCUCCCCAUCGUGAUGAUAAUGGAC